GACGUAGGAGGCGAGCGUUGUCCGGAUUCAUUGGGCGUAAAGAGCACGCAGGCGGUUUGGCAAGUCGGAUGUGAAAACCCGAAGCUCAACUUCGGGCGUGCAUCCGAAACUGCCCGACUAGAGGUAGGUAGGGGAGAUCGGAAUUCCUGGUGUAGCGGUGAAAUUCGUAGAUAUCGUUUGGAACGCCAAUGGUGAAAACAGACAGCUGGGAGUGUGCUGACGCUGAGACACGAAAGCCAGGGGAGCGAACGGG
RNAcentral lists this ribosomal RNA (253 nucleotides) under uncultured bacterium. RNAcentral describes it as "partial 16S ribosomal RNA". It matches the Rfam family "Bacterial small subunit ribosomal RNA", at positions 524 to 776 of the family's 1533-position model. The record is from RNAcentral.